Molecule: ribosomal RNA, 497 nt
Filed under: uncultured bacterium
Lineage: Bacteria
Description: partial 16S ribosomal RNA
Rfam family: Bacterial small subunit ribosomal RNA
Source: RNAcentral
GAUGAACGCUGGCGGCGUGCCUAAUACAUGCAAGUCGAGCGAACAGACGAGGAGCUUGCUCCUCUGACGUUAGCGGCGGACGGGUGAGUAACACGUGGAUCACCUACCUCUAUGACUGGGAUAACUUCGGGAAACCGGAGCUAAUACCAGAUAAUAUAUUGAACCGCAUGGUUCAAUAGUGAAAGACGGUUUUGCUGUCACUUAUAGAUGGAUCCGCGCCGCAUUAGCUAGUUGGUAAGGUAACGGCUUACCAAGGCAACGAUGCGUAGCCGACCUGAGAGGGUGAUCGGCCACACUGGAACUGAGACACGGUCCAGACUCCUACGGGAGGCAGCAGUAGGGAAUCUUGCGCAAUGGGCGAAAGCCUGACGGAGCAACGCCGCGUGAGUGGUGAAGGUCUUCGGAUCGUAAAGCUCUGUUAUUAGGGAAGAACAAAUGUGUAAGUAACUAUGCACGUCUUGACGGUACCUAAUCAGAAAGCCACGGCUAACUACGUG